CGUGCACACGAAAACCCAAAGAUCUGUAUUCGCCAGUAAUACGGUCUCUUGCCUGUGGUGCAGAAAUCAAGGAGGGCCUUGUCGCCUUCCAGGCGCUGCUGUGCCUCUGGAAGUGAAAUCAAGGCUCUACAAUU
This is a small nucleolar RNA of Scleropages formosus (Asian bonytongue), 134 nucleotides long. Ensembl annotates it as small nucleolar RNA SNORA68. The record is from Ensembl. Lineage: Eukaryota; Metazoa; Chordata; Actinopteri; Osteoglossiformes; Osteoglossidae.